GACGGGGGAUGCAAGCGUUAUCCGGAAUCACUGGGCGUAAAGCGUCUGUAGGUGGUGAUGCAAGUCACUGGUGCAAAACUCUGGCUCAACCGGAGGAAAGCCAGUGAAACUGCAUGACUAGAGUGUGGGAGAGGUAGAAGGAAUUCCCUGAGUAGCGGUGAAAUGCGUAGAUACAGGGAAGAACACCGGAGGCGAAAGCGUUCUACUGGAACACAACUGACCCUGAGAGACGAAAGCUAGUGUAGCGAUUGGG
Molecule: ribosomal RNA, 253 nt
Filed under: uncultured bacterium
Lineage: Bacteria
Description: partial 16S ribosomal RNA
Rfam family: Bacterial small subunit ribosomal RNA
Source: RNAcentral